This 1541-nucleotide long non-coding RNA is filed under the name Salmo salar (Atlantic salmon). RNAcentral describes it as "lncRNA (ENSSSAG00000101161.1, ENSSSAG00000106624.1)". Lineage: Eukaryota; Metazoa; Chordata; Actinopteri; Salmoniformes; Salmonidae. The record is from RNAcentral.
GAGGUCGUGGCUGGAGGUCGUGGCUGGAGGUCGUGGCUGGAGGUCGUGGCUGGAGGACGUGUCUGGAGGACGUGGCUGGAGGUCGUGGCUGGAGGUCGUGGCUGGAGGACGUGGCUGAAAGAUGCAGUAGAAACAGCAGGGAAUAACACUGACGCACUGAAGUCUGAGAAGUAACGGGACCAAAGACUGUGACAAAAACAAUUCAUGGAGUGAGAAAGGACUGUUCAACGUUGAUCUGACCAAUCGGAAUCUAUGCUUCAAGAUUGUUUUUAUCACGCAGACUGGGAGAUGUUCUGGGUCGCCUCUGAAAAUAGUAUCGAUGUAUACACUGACUCGGCGACUGGGUUCAUCGGGAAGUGCAUAGAGGAUGUUGUACCCACUGUGACGAUUAGAAUUUAUCCAAAUCAAAAACUGUGGAUAGAUGGCAGCAUUAGCACAGAACUAAGAGCCACAUUUAACCAUGGCAAGGUGACGGAACAUGGACGUUUAGAAACAGACCAGCUACGACCUCCGUAAAGGCAAUCAAAAAGGCAGAAUGAGAGUACAGGGACAAAGCGGAGUCGGGAAUUCAUCGGCUCGGACACGAGAUGUAUGUGGCAGGAACUCCAGACAAUCACAGAUUAUAAAGGGAAAGCCAGCCACGUCACAGACCCCGACACCUCGCUCCCAGACGAGCUAAACACCUUCUUCGCCCACUUCAAGGAAAACAAUAUCAAGCCACCGACACGGGCCCCCCUGCCACUCACGAGGACUGUGUGCUCUCGCUGCCGGCCCAGACAGCAUCCCAAGCCGCGUCCUCAGAGCAUGUGCAGACCAGCUGGCUGGAGUGUUUACAGACAUAUUCAAUCUCUCCCUAUACCAGUCUGCUGUCCCCACUUGCUUCAAGAUGUCAACCAAUUUUCCUGUACCAAAGAAAGCUAAGGUCACUGAACUAAAUGACUCCCGCCCCAUAGCACUCACUUCUGUCAUCAUGAAGUGCUUUGAGAGACUAGUCAAGGACCAUAUCACCUCCACCUUACCAGACACCCUAGACCCACUACAAUUCACAUAAUCGCCCACUACAAUUCACAUAACCGUCUCAACAGAUCCACGGACGACGCAAUCGCCAUUCCACUGCAGACUGCCCUUUCCCAUCUGGACAAGAUAAAUACUUACGUAAGAAUGCUGUUCAUCGACUUCAUCCCCCGAGUUCCACCACAACGCAUCACCGGGGGGCACACUACCUGCCCUCCAGGACAUCUACAGCACCCAGUGUCACAGGAAGGCCAAGAAGAUCAUCAAGGACCUCAGCCACCUGAUCCACGGCCUGUUCACCCCGCUACCAUCUAGAAGAUCAUCAAGGACCUCAGCCUCCUGAGCCACGGCCUGUUCACCCCGCUACCAUCUAGAAGAUCAUCAAGGACCUCAGCCACCUGAGCCACGGCCUGUUCACCCCGCUACCAUCUAGAAGGAGGAGACAGUACAGGUGCGUGAAAGCUGGGACAGAGACACUGAUUAAUAGCGCCUAUCUCCAGGGCAUCAGACUGUUAAGUAGUCACCAC